RNAcentral lists this ribosomal RNA (253 nucleotides) under uncultured bacterium. RNAcentral's name for it is "partial 16S ribosomal RNA". It matches the Rfam family "Bacterial small subunit ribosomal RNA", at positions 524 to 776 of the family's 1533-position model. The record is from RNAcentral.
UACGUAGGGGGCAAGCGUUGUCCGGAUUUAUUGGGCGUAAAGAGCGUGUAGGCGGCCAGGUAGGUCCGUUGUGAAAACUGGAGGCUUAACCUCCAGCUGUCGAUGGAAACCAUCUGGCUAGAGUCCGGAAGAGGAGAGUGGAAUUCCUGGUGUAGCGGUGAAAUGCGCAGAUAUCAGGAAGAACACCCGUGGCGAAGGCGGCUCUCUGGGACGGUACUGACGCUGGGGUGCGAAAGCAUGGGGAGCGAACAGG